RNAcentral lists this transfer RNA (73 nucleotides) under Bos taurus (domestic cattle). RNAcentral describes it as "tRNA-Arg (CCT) (tRNA-Arg-CCT-34-1)". It matches the Rfam family "tRNA". Rfam says of the family: Transfer RNA (tRNA) molecules are approximately 80 nucleotides in length. Their secondary structure includes four short double-helical elements and three loops (D, anti-codon, and T loops). Further hydrogen bonds mediate the characteristic L-shaped molecular structure. tRNAs have two regions of fundamental functional importance: the anti-codon, which is responsible for specific mRNA codon recognition, and the 3' end, to which the tRNAs corresponding amino acid is attached (by aminoacyl-tRNA synthetases). tRNAs cope with the degeneracy of the genetic code in two manners: having more than one tRNA (with a specific anti-codon) for a particular amino acid; and 'wobble' base-pairing, i.e. permitting non-standard base-pairing at the 3rd anti-codon position. Lineage: Eukaryota; Metazoa; Chordata; Mammalia; Artiodactyla; Bovidae. The record is from Rfam by way of RNAcentral. RNAcentral also lists the same sequence under 4 other names.
UCCCUGGUGGUCCAGUGGCUAAGACUCUGUGCUCCUCAUGCUGCGGGCCCAGGUUCAAUCCCUGGUCAGGGAA